AUUGAACGCUGGCGGCAGGCCUAACACAUGCAAGUCGAGCGAGCGGCGGACGGGUGAGGAAUGUAUGGGGACUGCCCGAUAGAGGGGGAUAACUACUGGAAACGGUAGCUAAUACCGCAUACUAUCGGAUAACCCAUAGUGGUUUAGCUAGUAGGUGAGGUAAUGGCUCACCUGGGCGACGAUCCCUAGCUGGUCUGAGAGGAUGAUCAGCAACCCUGGGACUGAGACACGGCCCAGACUCCUACGGAGGAAGCAGUGGGGAAUAUUGGACAAUGGGUGCAAGCCUGCUGCAGCCAUGCCGCGUGUAUGAAGAAGGCCCUAGGGUUGUAAAGUACUUUCAGUAGGGAGGCGUUACCGACAGAAGAAGCACCGGCUAACUCCGUGCCAGCCGCCGCGGUAAUAC
Molecule: ribosomal RNA, 403 nt
Filed under: uncultured bacterium
Lineage: Bacteria
Description: partial 16S ribosomal RNA
Rfam family: Bacterial small subunit ribosomal RNA
Source: RNAcentral